This 489-nucleotide ribosomal RNA is filed under the name uncultured soil bacterium. RNAcentral describes it as "bacterial SSU rRNA". It matches the Rfam family "Bacterial small subunit ribosomal RNA", at positions 26 to 511 of the family's 1533-position model. The record is from RNAcentral.
AGAGUGAACGCUGGCGGUAGGCCUAACACAUGCAAGUCGAACGGCAGCACAGUGGUAGCAAUACCAUGGGUGGCGAGUGGCGGACGGGUGAGGAAUACAUCGGAAUCUACCUUUUCGUGGGGGAUAACGUAGGGAAACUUACGCUAAUACCGCAUACGCCCUUUGGGGGAAAGCCGGGGAUCGCAAGACCUGGCGCGGAUAGAUGAGCCGAUGUCGGAUUAGCUAGUUGGUGAGGUAAUGGCUCAACCAAGGCGACGAUCCGUAGCUGGUCUGAGAGGAUGAUCAGCCACACUGGAACUGAGACACGGUCCAGACUCCUACGGGAGCAGCAGUGGGAAUAUUGGACAAUGGGCGACAAGCCUGGAUCCAGCCAUACCGCGUGGGUGAAAGAGGCCUUGGUUAGUAAACGUCCCUUUUGGUAGGAAAAGAAAAGCAAAGUCGGUUAACUACCCGGUUUGUUACGUAGGUAACCGGUUAACCCCAAAAAGG